RNAcentral lists this ribosomal RNA (420 nucleotides) under uncultured bacterium. Its description in RNAcentral is "bacterial SSU rRNA". It matches the Rfam family "Bacterial small subunit ribosomal RNA", at positions 355 to 775 of the family's 1533-position model. The record is from RNAcentral.
UGGGGAAUCUUGCGCAAUGGCCGAAAGGCUGACGCAGCGACGCCGCGUGUGGGAGGACGCUCUUCGGGGUGUAAACCACUGUUGCCCGGGACGAACAUCUCCUUUUGAGGGGACUGACGGUACCGGGUGAGGAAGCACCGGCUAACUCUGUGCCAGCAGCCGCGGUAAUACAGAGGGUGCGAGCGUUGUCCGGAAUCACUGGGCGUAAAGGGCGCGUAGGCGGCCUGGUAAGGUCGCGGUGAAAGCCCGGGGCUCAACCCCGGGUCGGCCGUGGCAACUGCGAGGCUUGAGCACAGUAGAGGCGGGUGGAAUUCCGGGUGUAGCGGUGGAAUGCGUAGAGAUCCGGAAGAACACCGGUGGCGAAGGCGGCCCGCUGGGCUGUGGCUGACGCUGAGGCGCGACAGCGUGGGGAGCAAACAG